UGGGGAAUUUUGCGCAAUGGGGGAAACCCUGACGCAGCAACGCCGCGUGCGGGACGACGGCCUUCGGGUUGUAAACCGCUUUCAGCAGGGAAGAAAUUCGACGGUACCCGCAGAAGAAGCUCCGGCUAACUACGUGCCAGCAGCCGCGGUAAUACGUAGGGAGCGAGCGUUAUCCGGAUUCAUUGGGCGUAAAGAGCGCGUAGGCGGCCUCUCAAGCGGGAUCUCUAAUCCGAGGGCUCAACCCCCGGCCGGAUCCCGAACUGGGAGGCUCGAGUUCGGUAGAGGCAGGCGGAAUUCCCGGUGUAGCGGUGGAAUGCGCAGAUAUCGGGAAGAACACCGAUGGCGAAGGCAGCCUGCUGGGCCGCAACUGACGCUGAGGCGCGAAAGCUAGGGGAGCGAACAGGAUUAGAUACCCUGGUAGU
This 422-nucleotide ribosomal RNA is filed under the name uncultured Coriobacteriaceae bacterium. RNAcentral describes it as "bacterial SSU rRNA". It matches the Rfam family "Bacterial small subunit ribosomal RNA", at positions 355 to 794 of the family's 1533-position model. The record is from RNAcentral. Lineage: Bacteria; Bacillati; Actinomycetota; Coriobacteriia; Coriobacteriales; Coriobacteriaceae.